Molecule: ribosomal RNA, 813 nt
Filed under: uncultured bacterium
Lineage: Bacteria
Description: bacterial SSU rRNA
Rfam family: Bacterial small subunit ribosomal RNA
Source: RNAcentral
AGAGUUUGAUCAUGGCUCAGAAUGAACGCUGGCGGCGUUAACACAUGCAAGUCGUACGAGAACUCUUCUGCUUGCAGAAGAUAGUAAAGUGGCGCACGGGUGAGUAACGCGUGGGUAAUCUACCUCUGAAUCGGGGAUAACCCGCCGAAAGGCGAGCUAAUACCGGAUAAUAUCUUUAAACUUCGGUUUUUAAGAUCAAAGGUGGUCUCUACAUGUAAGCUACUGUUUGGAGAUGAGCCCGCGUACCAUUAGCUUGUUGGUAGGGUAAUGGCCUACCAAGGCCGCGAUGGUUAGCUGGUCUGAGAGGAUGAUCAGCCACACUGGAACUGACACACGGUCCAGACUCCUACGGGAGGCAGCAGUGAGGAAUUUUGCGCAAUGGGGGAAACCCUGACGCAGCAACGCCGCGUGAGUGAUGAAGGCUUUCGGGUCGUAAAGCUCUGUCAAGUGGGAAGAACCUGCUAGAUGUUAAUAUCAUUUAGCUCUGACGGUACCACUAAAGGAAGCACCGGCUAACUCCGUGCCAGCAGCCGCGGUAAUACGGGGGGGUGCAAGCGUUAUUCGGAAUUAUUGGGCGUAAAGGGCGCGUAGGCGGUCUCUAAAGUCAGAUGUGAAAGCCCGGGGCUUAACCUGGGAACUGCAUUUGAAACUGGCAAACUAGAGUAUGGGAGAGGGAAGUGGAAUUCCUGGUGUAGCGGUGAAAUGCGUAGAUAUCAGGAGGAACACCAGUGGCGAAGGCGACUUCCUGGACCAAUACUGACGCUGAGGCGCGAAGGCGUGGGGAGCAAACAGGAUUAGAUACCCUAGUAGUCC